Long non-coding RNA from Hypanus sabinus (Atlantic stingray), 6857 nucleotides. RefSeq lists it as uncharacterized. Lineage: Eukaryota; Metazoa; Chordata; Chondrichthyes; Myliobatiformes; Dasyatidae. The transcript has 5 exons. The record is from RefSeq and is a predicted model, not a curated record.
UGCAUGUUGUCUAGAAAGUAAGGCUUUUCUUAGUAAUUAUGCUAGAUGAUGUAGAUAAGUAUGUAAAAAUUCAACAAUUUUAAUGAUUCAUUACAGUUCAUACCAAUCCCCUUAUGAUUCACCUAAUCUUGCACACCUCCAGAGUUGGAACUAAUUCUCUGGAAGCUCUGCUGCAAGGAUACGACAUAUUGAUUAUCAGAGCCUGCUUGUAGACGGAUAAAUGAGGAAGGAGAUGUAUUGAGAACAGUAAGGAUUGGCGAGAAUCCAAGGUCUAGGCACCUGCAUGGAUUCCAAGCAAACUCUGAACCUCCUGAGGGUCAAUCCCUCCCACUGCAAGUGAAACCUUGACUAGCACGCCACUAUCAGUGCAGCUAGGCAGCAACCCUGCCAUCCAGUGGCACAUUCUCAGUGCUCCCUCCACACGCGUGACUGCAUGGCCAGACUCUGCUCUAAUCCCAGCUGCAGGUGAUACCACUGGGAGAAGGUACAAGCACCUGAAAGCAUGUGGCACUGGGCUCAAGGACAGGUUCUGUUAAAUAGUUCUCCAGUGUGACAAAAUGGACUCUAGACCUCACAACCUAUGAUCUCGCACUUGUUUACUGGCACUGCACGCUCUCUGUAGCUAUUACACUUUAUUCUGGAUCGUUAUUGUUUAAUCUUGUUCUGUCUCGGCGCACGGGCUAAUGAUCUGAACUGUAUGAACAGUAUGCAAGAGAAGCUCUUCACUUGGUACAGGUGACGAUAAUAAUUCCGAUUGUCUGUACUGUGUGACGCAGUGAUGUUUUGGAAGCCAAGCAUGGGUCAGGGCACAUCAUUAUCCUUGUGGGACCAGGAACCUUGACAAGGAUGGUCAGGACCCAAAUACUGGAGUGUCCGAGGCUGGGAUUGAGACUGAAACGAGAACCGAUUACCAAGCAAGAUGCUAGACUGUAGCCCAACCUGACCCUCUGUUCAGGUGUUCUUAACUACUGAAAUCCCAGCGUCAAAUGCAGUAGCUGAUUGGUGGGACAGCCCUGAAUCUUUAAAGGGUCUGUGCCAGCUCUCCGUACUCCGGAGAGUUAGAGCAUCAGAAUUCCAGAAGCUGGUGUGCUUGGGUCUGUAUCGUAACACCUUGCAAAGUGGGUUCAGGUCCAGAGAUCAGGCGACACCCUUUCCCCCAAUAAUUCAUUCCUUUAGCCAGAUAGUUAAAACAGGUAGGGAAUUACACAGUUGAAAAUAGACAGAGGGAUAUCAACCAGAAUUUAUUGGAUUUGCCUCAGACAGCUUCUCAAAUGCGUACUGGAGGCAACACCAGCCACGAAAGCCACCCCACCCCCUCCCAGGUGUGCAGCCACUUUCUGUAACAGCAGCAGACGUGAGAAGGACUCCACAGAGAUUCAAACCCCCUCCCCACAAGGCGGCCGGGCCAGACAGCACCCCAGGCUGAAUACACAAUGAGUAUACGUCCCAGCUCACUGACGUCUUCAAGGACAUCUUCGACAUUUCACUCAUCCAGGCUGCUUCAAAUCAGCCACCAUCAUCCCUGUACCAAAGAACUCUGCUCCUUCAGAACUAAACACUGAUGCCAAUCAUCAUGAAGGGCUUUGAACGGCUGAUAAUGACAUAUCAGAAACUCCAUUCAUGCUAUACUAGACACUCUGCAAUGUGCUUACCGACAGAACCACUCUCCGAUAGAUCCCAUAGCAUCUGUCAUUCACCUGGCCCUGACACACCGAGAAAACAAGGACAGUCAUCUCGGGAUGCUCUUUCCGGAUUUCAGUUCACCAGAUCUUGGUGCACAAACUCCUGCUCCUCAGCCUAAAGACACCACGGGUGUCGGACUUCCUAACCAACAGAGCUCAGACAGCAGGAUGCACAAUCGCUCCUCCCUCUCUAUCACCCCCCAGGCUGUGUGUUGAGCCCAUUGUUAUACACCCUGCUCACACAUGACUUCAUGGCCAAAUCCCUGAGCAAUCACAUCGUCAAGUUUGCCAAUGACACAACAGUGGUGGGGCUCGUCACCAACAACAAUGAAAUGGUCUACAGAGAGGAGGGGGAAGAGCUCGAGGCCUGGUGCCAGGAGAAUAAUCAAUGUCAACAAGACAAAGGAGAUGGUUAUUGAUUUUGAGAGUACGCGGACCACUCUCUUUACAUCGGCAGCGCAGCAGUGUCAAACCCCUGGGAAUACACAUCUCACACAACCUCCCAUGGACCCAGAACAGACUCAGCACACCCAGAUCUCACCAACUCCUGCACUUUCUGAGGAGGCUGCAGAGAGCUGGACUUUGCACAUCCAUACUCACAUCAUUGUACAGACGAGCACCCCGACAAGCUGCCUCACUGCCUAGUAGGGAAACUGCACUGGAGCCGGCAGAAAGACUGGACAACGGGUAGUCAAAAAUGCCCAUCUCAUCACUGGCACCAGCCUACCCACCAUCAAGGACAUGUAUCCAGAAAGGUGCUGGACAAGGCCAGUAACAUCAUGAAGGAUUCCAGCCACCCUGCUCAUGGACUGUUUGUCCCACUCCCAUCAGGGAGGAGGCUACGUCACAUCCACACCAGGACCACCAGACUCAAAAACUGUUACUUUCCCCAAGCAGUAAGGCUGAUCAACACCUCCCUCACUAACCUACCCCUCCACACCCCCAACCACCACUACUUUAUCAUUACUGUCAGUUACCUAACAUACAGACACUCCUGUGCCCAGUGUCACUUUAUGUUCAUACAGUUAACCUGUGUAUAUAAGCUAUUGUAUGUGUUUUAGAAUUAUUGUGUUCGUUAUCUUAUUAGACAAUAGACAAUAGACAAUAGGUGCAGAAGUAGACCAUUUGGCCCCUCGAGUCUGCACCGCCAUUCUGAGAUCAUGGCUGAUCAUUUCUCAAUCAAUACCCAGUCCCUGCCUUGUCCCCAUAUCCCUUGAUUCCCCUAUCCAUCAGAUAUCUAUCUAGCUCCUUCUUGAAAGCAUCCAGAGAAUUGGCCUCCACCGUCUUCCGAGGCAGUGCAUUCCACACCUCCACAACUCUCUGGGAGAAGAAGUUUUUCCUCAACUCUGUUUUAAAUAACUGACCUCUUAUUCUCAAUCCAUGCCCUCUGGUACUGGACUCUCCCAACAUCUGGAACAUAUUUCCUGCCUCAAUCCUAUCAAAUCCUUUAAUUAUCUUAAACGUUUCAAUCAGAUCCCCUCUCAAUCUCCUCAAUUCCAGUGUGUACAAGCCCAAUCUCUCCAAUCUCUCUGUGUAAGACGCCCUGCCAUCCCAGGAAUCAACCUAGUGAAUCUACGCUGCACUUCCUCAAUUGCCAGAAUGUCCUUCCUUAAACCUGGAGACCAAAACUGUACACAAUAUUCCAGAUGUGGUCUCACCAGGGCCCUGUACAAAUGCAAAAGGACAUCCUUGCUCUUGUACUCAAUUCCCCUUGUAACAAAGGCCAACAUUCCAUUUGCCCUCUUCACUGCCUGUUGCACUUGCUCAUUCACCUUCAUUGACUGAUGAACUAGGACUCCUAGGUCUCUUUGCAUUUCUCCCUUACCUAACUCUACACCGUUCAGACAAUACUCUGCCCUCUUGUUCCUGCUUCCAAAGUGGAUAACUUCACAUUUGUUCACAUUGAAUGACAUCUGCCGUAUCUGCCCACUCACCCAGCCUAUCCAAGUCUCCCUGUAUUCUCCUAACGUCCUCUUCGCAUGUCACACUGCCACCCAGUUUAGUAUCGUCAGCAAACUUGCUGAUAUAGUUUUCAAUGCCCUCAUCUAAGUCGUUGACAUAAGUCGUAAAGAGCUGUGGUCCCAAUACAGAGCCCUGUGAUACCCCACUAGUCACCUCCAGCCAGUCCGAGAAACACACAUUCACUGCUACCCUUUGCUAUUGUUCUUUUUAGUGCUGCAUUGGAUCCGGAAUAGCAGUUAUUUCAUUCUCCUUUACAAUUUUGUACUGGAAAUGACAUUUUGAAAUGCCUCUGUUUGCCCCACUGCCAACCCUGGCAGUGCUUUUCUUGCACCCACCACUUUAUCCAUGUGUAAAAAAUUUGCCCCACAUAUCUCCUUUGAACUUUCCCCUCUCACAGUUUAAAUGCAUGCCCCCUAGGAUUAGACACUUCAAUUCUGGGAAAAAGAUACUGGCUGUUUACUCUAUUUAUGUCUCUCAUAAUCUUAUAAACUUUUAUCAGGUCUCCCCUCCACCUCCGAUACUCCAGAGAAAACAGCCAAGGUGUAUUCCGGCCAGCUUCUCAAUGAACCUCUUCUGCACCCUCUCCAUAACCUCCACCUUCCUUCUUGUUCAAAGUGAAUCCAUUAUCAAAGUACACACUGUACAUGUCACCAAUACAACCCUGAGGUUCGAUUUCUUGUGAUAAAUAGAAAGAAACACGAUAGAAUCAAUGAAGAAGCUCACACGACAGAGACAGGCAAAUGUGCAAAUUCAAAAAGAAAAAUAUAUAUAUUACAAAUAAAUAAGCAAUAAAUAUCAAGAACACAGGUCCUUAACACUAGUCUAUAGGUUAUGGAAUUAGUCCAGGGUUGGUGUGAGUGGAUGUGGUGAACAGGUGACUUUGUGCUGCAUGGUGGACCUUACUAUAAAUAUUCUGCCAUUCCCAUCCUGAGGUGGCAGAAUGCUCAGUUUAGGUGUGAGAAUUGCUUUUUUUUACACCUGUAGGUGCCUAUGUGAAGCAUCUUGUUCGUCUGUUCCCUUGUGCUGAAAUACCUUUAAAGGCUGAGCAAAACAAAUUCUCCUUGAACCAGACAAACUUGAGUUAAUGCAAUAAAAAUAUCUAGUGAUGAAAUAAUGUCUAGCAGGGUUGGUCUGAUCAGGUCCCCUGCUAGAAGACAUGCAUAGACAUAGUGUACUCUUGAUUUUUCCACACAGGGAGAUUAAAGAACUGCUUGAAAUCAAAGAAAAUGUAUCACACAGUGGGACUCCAUUUUCUGGAUUCUUCACCCUUCCUUUCCAGUCUUGAUGAAAGGAUUUGGCCAAAACUAUUGACUGUUUAUUCCUCUCCAUAGAUGCUGCCUGACCUGCUGAGUUCCUCCAGCAUUUUUGUGUGUGAUGCUCUGGAUUUCCAGCAUCUGCAGAAUCUCUUGUGUUUAUGGCGCCCCAUUUCGUUUGGGCCCAUUGGAAACGAAAUACACAACUUCUUACAUGUGAACAUCUAAAUAUGGAGUAGGAAUCCCGACAAGAAUGGGCUACCAUUGAAUAUGAUCGUGAAGGGCCCAAUUGCAACUGUUACGAAUGUACCACAGCUCUAAGGGGCUGAAGGGUGUGGGGUAGCCCCCUCCUUUGUGAGAAUCGCAAGAUCACUAUUGAGUCAGUUCAGGAGACCCAGGAAAUGAGAGAAAGACAUGCAGAAUUCACGAAGAGUUGGAAUGUGUCCUGGCCUCCGAAAGAAUGUGUCCUGGCCAUUGAUACCGGCUAUUGUCUCUUGGAGAUGGGAUUGUGUAUUGAAUCCUGUACGAUGCAUCGAAGCUCCAGGCAAUGAACCGAGGGGGAGGUUGGUGGAGGGAUUGCAUCAUCUCAACCUGAUUGACAUCUGAGACCCUGUGAGUCAGGAUAAAAGAGGGUCUGUGGGACCAGCCCCUCGGACGCACCAGAAGAAACGCUAGCAAUCCCGUAAUAGUGAAAGCCGGUGGGAAGGCCACGUGCAUCCAUUUCCAUUUGCCCCGGAAUCGGUGGUCCUCUACCACGGAAGAACGGUUUUUAGCUAACAACGGGGAAAUCAAUUCCCAACGACUCUCGAAAGAUUGACAUCAUAAAAGGAACGGGCAAGUUUUAACCCGUCUUUCUCUCCAACCAAAACGCUGCAGCUUGAAUGAACUAAAGUGACUUUUAUAUUUCCAUCGGACAAUACAUUAUCUCCUAGACAACAAUAGAGCUAUUUCUUAUUGAUUAUUAUUAUUAUACCCGCACUUUUAGAUUUAGCAUUGACAACGUAUAUCAUCUGUAUGUUUGCCUUGAUAUUAUUUUUGUGUAUUUUUAUCAAUAAGUACUGUUAAAAAUAGUACCAUCAGACUUCAACGGACCUCUCUAUCUUUGCUGGAUGUGGGCAUCACUGACAAGGCCAGCAUUUAUUGCUCAUCCCGAAUUGCCCUUGACAGUGGCAGAGAGCCGCCUUCUUGACCCGCUGACGGAGGAAUGGCCACGGUGCAGCAGGACAGAGAGCUCCCGCAUUUGGACCCACCGAUGAUGCAUCAUCAGUAAUAUCAGAACGGCUCACGAUGCGGAGGGGAACCUGCUGGGUGUUGGUGUCCCUGUGCACCUGCUUCACCCGUCCUUGAAGAGAGACAGACCCCAUGAACUUUGUCGGAGCAGCUGAGGGAAGGAUCUUGAAGGUGGAAAAUGGAAUGAAGCUUUGGGACAGUGGAUGGGAUGUCAGUGACGGUAACUCAAAUAACCGCGCAUUGUGACAGCGGUGUGCAGAAGACCACCUCUGACUGAACAACACAUCGAACUUUGAAGUGGGUGGGCUACAGCAGCAGAAGACCACGAACGUACUUCACUGGCUGCUUCAUUAGUUACAGGAUGCACCAGAGUCUCUUAAAUGCCCCUGAUGAAUCUGACUGGUUGCAUCAGGGCCUGGUUUGUCAACUCCAAUGCACUGGGACGUAGGAGGCAGCAGAGACCAACCUGGUCCAUCACUGACAGGAUCUACGGGAUGUACUGCCUCAAGAAAGUGGAAUCUAUCACAAGGUUUCAAAGAUGGAUGGCAUGCAGAACAGCGCUUGUCAUGGUACCUCAGGUCACUGAGAUGCUUACGGCAGACGAUGACAGAUCCUUCAUCAGUGCAUGAAGGGAUACGAGGAGAAGGCAGGAGGUUGGGGCAUGAUGAAAUGGUGGAACAGACUUGAUGUGCCAAAUGGCCUUAUUCUACUCCUAUAUCUUAUAUGCAAC